UGGGGGAUAGUGCAAUGGUAGCACAACUGGCUCUGGACCAGUUAGUCUUGGUUCGAAUCCAAGUCCCCCAGCCA
This 74-nucleotide transfer RNA is filed under the name Candidatus Omnitrophota bacterium. RNAcentral's name for it is "Candidatus Omnitrophica bacterium (groundwater metagenome) tRNA-Gln". It matches the Rfam family "tRNA". Rfam says of the family: Transfer RNA (tRNA) molecules are approximately 80 nucleotides in length. Their secondary structure includes four short double-helical elements and three loops (D, anti-codon, and T loops). Further hydrogen bonds mediate the characteristic L-shaped molecular structure. tRNAs have two regions of fundamental functional importance: the anti-codon, which is responsible for specific mRNA codon recognition, and the 3' end, to which the tRNAs corresponding amino acid is attached (by aminoacyl-tRNA synthetases). tRNAs cope with the degeneracy of the genetic code in two manners: having more than one tRNA (with a specific anti-codon) for a particular amino acid; and 'wobble' base-pairing, i.e. permitting non-standard base-pairing at the 3rd anti-codon position. Lineage: Bacteria; Pseudomonadati; Candidatus Omnitrophota. The record is from RNAcentral.